Molecule: long non-coding RNA, 1538 nt
Filed under: Homo sapiens (human)
Lineage: Eukaryota; Metazoa; Chordata; Mammalia; Primates; Hominidae
Description: non-protein coding DNM3OS:6
Source: RNAcentral
GCAUCAUUCCUUUAAUUGAGCAGAGUUAACUGGAUCAAAUUAUUUAUGGGAGAGAGAGGAAAAGUUAUAAAGAAUUAUAGUAAUUUUUAAUUUCCACCAAUAUACUCUUUGUAAGUGAAUCACUCUAUAAUUACUUUCUGUUGCACUGAAUGCAGCAACAAUAACACAAUAGUAUUUUAAGGCACUGGUUUUUGGCAUACUCUAACCUUGUAAUUAUUUAAAUAACAGCCAAGUUUACUCAUGUUUUUGAUUCUGUCAAGAAAAAAAAAAAGUUCCUUUACUCGAAAGUGAUGGCCGAAACAGAAUCGGAAAUUUGUUUUCUUGAAAUUACAUAAAUACACAGAAAAUGGCACUUAUUAGCUUUUGUUAAAACAUUACCUUACCUAAUCACUGCAUAAAAGUCCAGAUUUGUAGAAAAUUGUAAUUUUCUCAGUAUCUAAAACUAUUUUGCUUUCCAUUAAGUUUCUAUUUGCUAUUUUCUCAGAAUUUUACAAUUAAAGAUAAAUCACAAACUGUUUGUUUUUCUUAAAGUUCUUUGAGAAAAUGUCUAAUUAUACAAUCCUUGGACAAUACUGUGUUUUUUUGGUGCUGUGUUUUUUAAGAAGUCCUACUUACUGGAAUUUUGACUAUUUGGAUAUUUUUGUUUUUAAAAGGGGAGGGGAAUUUGCUUAAUACUUCUAAAGAUGUGAAUUGAUAAUUGAUAUUAAAAUAGAAUUACUCUCAACUCACCAGAAUUAAAUUUUAUAUCUGCAUAUUUAACACUAUUAGCUCAUAUAAAUUAUAAGAAAAAUUUUCAAAGGAUCUGGUUUUAAUUUUUUGGAUAUGAAAUGAAUUUGCCUUUUCUGCCUUUUCUUAAGUACUAUUUUGUAACUAUAUUGCACUAACUAUAUCCAAAACACAUUCUGAGCAUCACUGUGAGUAACAGCCUUCCAGUUUGUACCCUUUUGAUUCACAGCAUGGCCCUAUAGUUAAUUAAGAGGUGGAUAACUUAAGCUCACAACUGCCUUUAAUUUGAUUUCACAUCCACAGUUAUAAACUUUGCAUUUAAAAGGAAAAUGAGACAUUUAAAUAGGUUCCUGUUGUUUCACAUAUAAUUGGUAAAAACAUAUUCCCUUGUAGGAUCCUAUUAUCAGAGCAUCAAAUACCAAAGUCAGCAACUUGGGUUGCCAAAUAAAUUAGGCUCAUUAAUUAUUUUGAAAAGGGCUGCUGUUUCCAUGUAAAUGAUAAUUUUCUUUUUCAUGGACAAGGUUAUGGUACUUAUCUACUAAAAGAAACAUGCAUAAACAUAGUUUUUAUCUUUAACUUCAGUAUUAAAAUAUGCAGUUUUUUGCAAAGAGGAAAAACAUCUGGUUCAAUUACGCUGAACUCUGACUACAUGUGGGCCAGUAAUAAUAUGAAUUGGACUUAAGAAUAAACCUUGUGUUUAAUCUCUUUUUUUCCUUAAAAUUUUAAUGUGAGUUUUCUGUUACGCAAAUUAUCCAUGUUAGCACAUUUGGAACAAAUGUAUAAAUGUACUUUCUGAAUAAAGUCAAAAGUCU